AGGUCAUGUAGGCGAAGGAAUA
This 22-nucleotide microRNA is filed under the name Heliconius melpomene (postman butterfly). Its description in RNAcentral is "Hme-Mir-2786_5p* (star (passenger))". The record is from RNAcentral. Lineage: Eukaryota; Metazoa; Arthropoda; Insecta; Lepidoptera; Nymphalidae.